GUGGCGCACGGGUGCGUAACGCGUGGGAAUCUGCCCUUUGGUUCGGAAUAACAGUUAGAAAUGACUGCUAAUACCGGAUGAUGACUUCGGUCCAAAGAUUUAUCGCCAGAGGAUGAGCCCGCGUAGGAUUAGGUAGUUGGUGGGGUAAAGGCCUACCAAGCCGACGAUCCUUAGCUGGUCUGAGAGGAUGAUCAGCCACACUGGGACUGAGACACGGCCCAGACUCCUACGGGAGGCAGCAGUGGGGAAUAUUGCACAAUGGGCGCAAGCCUGAUGCAGCAACGCCGCGUGAGGGACGACGGCCUUCGGGUUGUAAACCUCUUUUAGCAGGGAAGAAGCGAAAGUGACGGUACCUGCAGAAAAAGCACCGGCUAACUACGUGCCAGCAGCCGCGGUAAUACGUAGGGUGCAAGCGUUGUCCGGAAUUAUUGGGCGUAAAGAGCUCGUAGGCGGUCUGUCGCGUCUGCUGUGAAAACCCGAGGCUCAACCUCGGGCCUGCAGUGGGUACGGGCAGACUAGAGUGCGGUAGGGGAGAUUGGAAUUCCUGGUGUAGCGGUGGAAUGCGCAGAUAUCAGGAGGAACACCGAUGGCGAAGGCAGAUCUCUGGGCCGUAACUGACGCUGAGGAGCGAAAGCGUGGGGAGCGAACAGGAUUAGAUACCCUGGUAGUCCAC
RNAcentral lists this ribosomal RNA (673 nucleotides) under uncultured Actinomycetales bacterium. Its description in RNAcentral is "bacterial SSU rRNA". It matches the Rfam family "Bacterial small subunit ribosomal RNA", at positions 95 to 798 of the family's 1533-position model. The record is from RNAcentral. Lineage: Bacteria; Bacillati; Actinomycetota; Actinomycetes; Actinomycetales.